RNAcentral lists this ribosomal RNA (261 nucleotides) under uncultured bacterium. Its description in RNAcentral is "partial 16S ribosomal RNA". It matches the Rfam family "Bacterial small subunit ribosomal RNA", at positions 99 to 354 of the family's 1533-position model. The record is from RNAcentral.
CGAACGGGUGAGUAACACGUGGGCAACCUGCCCAAAAGAGGGGGAUAACACUUGGAAACAGGUGCUAAUACCGCAUAACCAUAGUUACCGCAUGGUAACUAUGUAAAAGGUGGCUAUGCUACCGCUUUUGGAUGGGCCCGCGGCGCAUUAGCUAGUUGGUGGGGUAAAGGCUUACCAAGGCAAUGAUGCGUAGCCGAACUGAGAGGUUGAUCGGCCACAUUGGGACUGAGACACGGCCCAAACUCCUACGGGAGGCAGCAG